GAUACCAGGGUACCAAAGUCUUUACCCACAUUGAGCUUGCUCAAAUGUGGGUAUAAGACCUUGGGACCCGCCCCAAUAUUCGCAUAAAAGCGGGACGAUAGUCUCGCGAUAUGCGAAUAUUGGGUAGGAUUGCGAGAGCACGAAGUGCGCAGCAAUCCGUAGGUAUC
This 167-nucleotide small RNA is filed under the name uncultured Acetatifactor sp. RNAcentral's name for it is "Clostridiales-1 RNA". It matches the Rfam family "Clostridiales-1 RNA". Lineage: Bacteria; Bacillati; Bacillota; Clostridia; Lachnospirales; Lachnospiraceae. The record is from RNAcentral.